AACGAGUUGUUUGCGUAAUUACCAAUCGAGAGGAUUUUUAGCUAAAGUGGCUGGUUUCCAGACAUUGGUGUUUGUACCAGUAAAGUUGGGAGUUGUGGAACUUGGAUCUGUUAAAUCAAUUCCUGAAGAUCAGGGUGUUCUAGAGUUGGUUAGAGCUGCCUUUGGGGGAUCAAAUACUGCCCAAUUGAAGGCCUCCCCAAGGAUCUUUGGACAUGAACUAAGUUUAGGUGGAACAAAACCUCG
RNAcentral lists this unclassified non-coding RNA (243 nucleotides) under Hevea brasiliensis (rubber tree). The record is from RNAcentral. Lineage: Eukaryota; Viridiplantae; Streptophyta; Magnoliopsida; Malpighiales; Euphorbiaceae.